UUCCAAAACGCUUCCUUUGGGGCAGGGUCGGCUUUCCGAGUCUUUGCAACCGCUUCCAUUGCGGGGAGGAGGAGGAUCAUCCCCGAGGCUGGUGCAUUGUCGUUGUGUGUGCCGUGUGGGUUGAGAGAUUCAUCAAUGUGUGUGUUUAGAUGGUGACAGAUUACCUCAACCCCCAAACAGUCUCUGGCUUGUUAGAAGAGGAGCUGUUACAGUCUGCUCUACUGAUAGGGUUCUAAAUACUGUCUUGAGUUGGCUUGCUCUGACUAUGCAGGCUCCCUGCUCUGCUGACACACUCUGACGGUCCUGCCAGCUAGAUAAAGGUACCACAAAGAAGAAACUGAGCCUUUUAAUUGUGUCUGAGAUAUGAUGCUCAUAAAAAUAACCUUGAUACAAAGUCGUAACCUUUGAAGAUGAGGUGAAUACUCAGUUAACUGGAAACAGAGCUGCCUUCCAGGAGACAAGAUUCCUAGAGAGGAAGUAAUCAAGGAGUAUCACCUGCUGUUGCUGCAGGCCCAGCACCAGGAUUCCUGCCAGGAUGCUGAAGAUUGCCGUGAUGUUGGCACAGAGAGCAGGAAAGUCAUCUUUUCUUCACACUGUCAGCAUUUCCACUGCUGACUCUGGUGGCGUGGGAAGGAAACAGCAACUGGCUAAGGCCAAGGCAAAGGUUUUAGUAAGUGCCUUAUGCUUUUGUCAGGUUCCAGGGUUUGGGAUGUUUGGCACAUGAAGUAGGACCUAAGCACGUGGGAGCUGAUGGUAGAGAAAAUGGCUGAGAACAAAUGCUGUGGGGUGGGAUAGGCACAAAGUAGUAGAGGUGUUUGGGAAGCAGUGAGAUUAAGAGAAAGAAACAGGACUUUCUCACUCAGCAGGAGCUUUUCUAGAGCUCUGAUAUGUUCAUUACCUCAGAGCAGAGCUGCCAAGGUCUCCACAUUCCUGCUGUCUCUUUCCUACCAGUGGACACCCUGCCUCUGUCCCGCACACCUUUUGCACCCAUGGCUAGGUUACGGUGAAGUACUAUACAUGGAGAUGUAUCUUGAUGCAAAGUUCUGGACUUGUCAGGUUCAUGGGCUGCAUAUAAAGAGAAAGAGAACCAGACAGUGAGAAUCUAACACAUUUCUCUUAGCAGUGGUUGUUGGGAACAGAAGUACACUGGUAAAUACAUCACAGGGAAUGCAUUGCUACAAGGUGUUAGCAAAGGCAAGGGUGUAGCACAGAGCUGGGUGUUCCUCAGAUGAUGAGAAACAGAGCUGUCAGGAAGAAAUGUUUGUGCUACAGAAGCUGUUGUGUAGCAAAUCAAGUUGUGCACAUAGCAAAGAGUUACGAAUUUUUCCUUUAGUCAGAUUAUUGCCCAUCUUUCACUUUCCUCUCAAAAUCCAGGCCAAGUCUGCUAGAAAAGAAAACACUAGUCUGGAUUUAUGCCUUUGAGCCUUGCUGUGUGUUUAAAACAAAGUGUUACGGGUGAAGAGAAGGUGUGUCUGGAGGGAGGAAGGUAUUUCUGUCAUACUCUGAACCUGUGUAACUGGAACUCUCUGAUAACACAGUACUUCUCCAAUUUAAUGGUGUAGCUGCAAAGUUUUUUAUUGCAGUCCAGAUGUCUUUGUAUGCAUUUCUUCUCUCUUUUUGGAAACUGCCACUGUCCUUAAAUGGAUUUUUUCUAUUUUUAGUAACAAUUGUGACUCUUAAUAUCUAAUCUA
Molecule: long non-coding RNA, 1691 nt
Organism: Pogoniulus pusillus (Red-fronted tinkerbird)
Lineage: Eukaryota; Metazoa; Chordata; Aves; Piciformes; Lybiidae
Exons: 4
Source: RefSeq, a predicted model, not a curated record